Molecule: ribosomal RNA, 506 nt
Filed under: uncultured bacterium
Lineage: Bacteria
Description: partial 16S ribosomal RNA
Rfam family: Bacterial small subunit ribosomal RNA
Source: RNAcentral
AGUGAACGCUGGCGGUAGGCCUAACACAUGCAAGUCGAACGGCAGCACAGGAGAGCUUGCUCUCUGGGUGGCGAGUGGCGGACGGGUGAGGAAUACAUCGGAAUCUACUCUGUCGUGGGGGAUAACGUAGGGAAACUUACGCUAAUACCGCAUACGACCUACGGGUGAAAGCAGGGGGCCUUCGGGCCUUGCGCGAUUGAAUGAGCCGAUGUCGGAUUAGCUAGUUGGCGGGGUAAAGGCCCACCAAGGCGACGAUCCGUAACUGGUCUGAGAGGAUGAUCAGCAACACCGGAACUGAGACACGGUCCAGACUCCUACGGGAGGCAGCAGUGGGGAAUAUUGGACAAUGGGCGCAAGCCUGAUCCAGCCAUACCGCGUGGGUGAAGAAGGCCUUCGGGUUGUAAAGCCCUUUUGUUGGGAAAGAAAUCCAGCUGGCUAAUACCCGGUUGGGAUGACGGUACCCAAAGAAUAAGCACCGGCUAACUUCGUGCCAGCAGCCGCGGUAA